GGAUUAGAUACCCUGGUAGUCCACGCUGUAAACGAUGUCGACUAGCCGUUGGGCUCAUUUAAGAGUUUAGUGGCGCAGCUAACGCGAUAAGUCGACCGCCUGGGGAGUACGGCCGCAAGGUUAAAACUCAAAGGAAUUGACGGGGGCCCGCACAAGCGGUGGAGCAUGUGGUUUAAUUCGAUGCAACGCGAAGAACCUUACCAGCCCUUGACAUCCCAAGAAUUCUGUGGAGACGCAGGAGUGCCUUCGGGAGCUUGGAGACAGGUGCUGCAUGGCUGUCGUCAGCUCGUGCCG
This 294-nucleotide ribosomal RNA is filed under the name uncultured bacterium. RNAcentral's name for it is "partial 16S ribosomal RNA". It matches the Rfam family "Bacterial small subunit ribosomal RNA", at positions 775 to 1067 of the family's 1533-position model. The record is from RNAcentral.